AUUGAACGCUGGCGGCAUGCCUUACACAUGCAAAUCGAACGGUAACGGGCCUUCGGGUGCCGACGAGUGGAGAACGGGUGAGUAAUACAUCGGAACGUGCCCGAUCGUGGGGGAUAACGAGGCGAAAGCUUUGCUAAUACCGCAUACGAUCUACGGAUGAAAGCAGGGGACCGCAAGGCCUUGCGCGGACGGAGCGGCCGAUGGCAGAUUAGGUAGUUGGUGGGAUAAAAGCUUACCAAGCCGACGAUCUGUAGCUGGUCUGAGAGGAUGAUCAGCCACACUGGGACUGAGACACGGCCCAGACUCCUACGGGAGGCAGCAGUGGGGAAUUUUGGACAAUGGGCGCAAGCCUGAUCCAGCCAUGCCGCGUGCAGGAUGAAGGCCUUCGGGUUGUAAACUGAUUUUGUACGGAACGAAAAGCCUUCUUUUAAUACAGGAGGGUCAUGACGGUACCGUAAGAAUAAGCACCGGCUAACUACGUG
RNAcentral lists this ribosomal RNA (482 nucleotides) under uncultured bacterium. Its description in RNAcentral is "partial 16S ribosomal RNA". It matches the Rfam family "Bacterial small subunit ribosomal RNA", at positions 30 to 507 of the family's 1533-position model. The record is from RNAcentral.